RNAcentral lists this ribosomal RNA (465 nucleotides) under uncultured bacterium. Its description in RNAcentral is "partial 16S ribosomal RNA". It matches the Rfam family "Bacterial small subunit ribosomal RNA", at positions 28 to 507 of the family's 1533-position model. The record is from RNAcentral.
GACGAACGCUGGCGGCGUGCUUAACACAUGCAAGUCGAACGGAAAGGCCCCUUUUGGGGUACUCGAGUGGCGAACGGGUGAGUAACACGUGCGUAACCUGCCCUUGACUUCCGGAUAACUUCCGGAAACUGGGGCUAAUACCGAAUAGGAAUCCUUUCUUCAUGGUGGGUGUUGGAAAGCUUCUGGGGUUUUGGGUGGACUCGCGGCUUAUCAGCUUGGUGGUGGGGUAGUGGCUUACCAAGGCUUUGACGGGUAGCCGGCCUGAGGGGGGGAGCGGCCACAUUGGGACCGGAAUAAGGCCCAGGCUCCUACGGGGGGCAGGAAGGGGGGAUAAUGCACAAUGGGGGGGAGGCUGAUGGAGGAACGCCGCGGGCGGGAUGACGGCCUUCCGGUUGUAAAACGGUUUCAGCAGGGGCGAAGCUUGUGGUGACGGUACCUGCAGAAGAAGCACCGGCUAACUACGUG